GUCUCUUCGGGGAUGAUUAAACCGGCGCACGGGUGAGUAACACGUGAGUGACCUGCCUUUUAGACUGGAACAACUUACCGAAAGGUGAGCUAAUGCCGGAUGAGUUAUAUAAGUGCAUGUUUAUAUAGGAAAAGUUGGGGAGACCUGACGCUGAAAGAUGGACUCGCGUCCCAUUAGCUAGUUGGUAGGGUAAUGGCCUACCAAGGCGACGAUGGGUAGCCGGCCUGAGAGGGUGGCCGGCCACACUGGGACUGAGACACGGCCCAGACUCCUACGGGAGGCAGCAGUGGGGGAUUUUGCGCAAUGCUCGUAAGAGUGGCGCAGCGACGCCGCGUGAAUGACGAAGGCCUUCGGGUCGUAAAGUUCUUUCGACAGGGAAGAAAAUGCCUAUAAGCAACUGUGUAUGUAUUGACGGUACCUGUAUAAGCAGCCCCGGCUAACUCCGUGCCAGCAGCCGCGGUAAUACGGAGGGGGCGAGCGUUGUUCGGAGUGACUGGGCGUAAAGAGCACGUAGGCGGUGUUGUAAGUCAUUAGUCAAAGACUAGAGCUCAACUUUAGUAAGGCUAGUGAUACUAUAAUACUAGAGUAUCAGAGAGGAUUGCAGAAUUCCUGGUGUAGCGGUGAAAUGCGUAGAUAUCAGGAGGAAUACCGUUAGCGAAGGCGGCAAUCUGGCUGGAAACUGACGCUGAGGUGCGAAAGCGUGGGUAGCAAACAGGAUUAGAUACCCUGGUAGUCCACGCUGUAAACGAUGGAUGCUAGGU
RNAcentral lists this ribosomal RNA (761 nucleotides) under uncultured bacterium. RNAcentral describes it as "bacterial SSU rRNA". It matches the Rfam family "Bacterial small subunit ribosomal RNA", at positions 74 to 821 of the family's 1533-position model. The record is from RNAcentral.